This 253-nucleotide ribosomal RNA is filed under the name uncultured bacterium. Its description in RNAcentral is "partial 16S ribosomal RNA". It matches the Rfam family "Bacterial small subunit ribosomal RNA", at positions 524 to 776 of the family's 1533-position model. The record is from RNAcentral.
UACGUAGGUCGCAAGCGUUGUCCGGAUUUACUGGGCGUAAAGAGCGCGCAGGCGGCUGGUCAAGUCCGAUGUGGAAUCUCCCGGCUCAACUGGGAAACUGCAUCGGAAACUGUUCGGCUUGAAGAUGGGAGAGGGUAGUGGAAUUCCCGGUGUAGUGGUGAAAUGCGUAGAUAUCGGGAGGAACACCAGUGGCGAAGGCGACUACCUGGCCCAUUCUUGACGCUGAGGCGCGAAAGCUAGGGGAGCGAACGGG